AGCAGCCGCGGUAAUUCCAGCUCCAAUAGCGUAUAUUAAAGUUGUUGCAGUUAAAAAGCUCGUAGUUGAAUUUCGGGGUCAGCAAGUUGGUCGUGCCACUGGUAUGUACUGGCUUUGCUGAUUCCUCCUUCUUGUAGAACCGUAAUGCCAUUUAGUUGGUGUUGCGGGGAAACAGGACUGUUACUUUGAAAAAAUUAGAGUGUUUAAAGCAGGCUAACGCCUGAAUACAUUAGCAUGGAAUAAUGAAAUAGGACGAGCGAUCCUAUUUUGUUGGUUUCUAGGAUUGACGUAAUGAUUAAUAGGGAUAGUUGGGGGCAUUAGUAUUCAAUUGUCAGAGGUGAAAUUCUUGGAUUUAUUGAAGACUGACUACUGCGAAAGCAUUUGCCAAGGAUGUUUUCAUUAAUCAAGAACGAAAGUUAGGGGAUCGAAGACGAUCAGAUACCGUCGUAG
This 450-nucleotide ribosomal RNA is filed under the name uncultured Glomeromycotina. RNAcentral's name for it is "SSU rRNA". It matches the Rfam family "Eukaryotic small subunit ribosomal RNA", at positions 569 to 1023 of the family's 1831-position model. Lineage: Eukaryota; Fungi; Glomeromycota. The record is from RNAcentral.